This 255-nucleotide ribosomal RNA is filed under the name uncultured bacterium. RNAcentral's name for it is "partial 16S ribosomal RNA". It matches the Rfam family "Bacterial small subunit ribosomal RNA", at positions 793 to 1055 of the family's 1533-position model. The record is from RNAcentral.
GUCCACGCAGUAACGAUGAAUACUAGCUGUAUGCGAUAUACUGUAUGUGGCAAAGCGAAGCGUUAAGUAUUCCACCUGGGAGUACGUUCGCAAGAAUGAAACUCAAAGGAAUUGACGGGGCCCGCACAAGCGGAGGAACAUGUGGUUUAAUUCGAUGAUACGCGAGGAACCUUACCCGGGCUUGAAAUGCAUCUGACCGAUCUGGAAACAGAUUUUCUAGCAAUAGCAGAUGUGUAGGUGCUGCAUGGUUGUCGU